UGCAGAAUCCCGUGAACCAUCGAGUCUUUGAACGCAAGUUGCGCCCGAAGCCAUUAGGCCGAGGGCACGUCUGCCUGGGCGUCACGC
Molecule: ribosomal RNA, 87 nt
Filed under: Nyssa sylvatica
Lineage: Eukaryota; Viridiplantae; Streptophyta; Magnoliopsida; Cornales; Nyssaceae
Also listed under: 27 other names
Description: partial 5.8S ribosomal RNA
Rfam family: 5.8S ribosomal RNA
About the family: 5.8S ribosomal RNA (5.8S rRNA) is a component of the large subunit of the eukaryotic ribosome. It is transcribed by RNA polymerase I as part of the 45S precursor that also contains 18S and 28S rRNA.
Source: RNAcentral